Molecule: ribosomal RNA, 468 nt
Filed under: uncultured bacterium
Lineage: Bacteria
Description: partial 16S ribosomal RNA
Rfam family: Bacterial small subunit ribosomal RNA
Source: RNAcentral
GACGAACGCUGGCAGCGUGCUUAACACAUGCAAGUCGAACGGAAAGGCCCUGCUUUUGUGGGGUGCUCGAGUGGCGAACGGGUGAGUAACACGUGAGUAACCUGCCCUUGACUUUGGGAUAACCUAAGACAACUGGGUCUAAUACCGGAUAGGAGCUCCUGCUGCAUGGUGGGGGUUGGAAAGUUUCGGCGGUUGGGGAUGGACUCGCGGCGUAGCAGUUUGUUGGUGGGGUAGUGGCUUACCAAGGCUUUGACGGGUAGCCGGCCGGGGAGGGUGACCGGCCACAUUGGGACUGAGAUACGGCCCAGACUCCUACGGGAGGCAGGAGGGGGGAAUAUUGCGCAAUGGGCGGAAGCCUGAUGCAGCAACGCCGCGUGCGGGAUGACGGCCUUCGGGUUGUAAACCGCUUUCGCCUGUGACGAAGCGUGAGUGACGGUAAUGGGUAAAGAAGCACCGGCUAACUACGUG